UACGUAGGGCGCAAGCGUUGUCCGGAAUUAUUGGGCGUAAAGAGCUCGUAGGCGGUUUGUCGCGUCUGCUGUGAAAACCUAAGGCUCAACCUUGGGCUUGCAGUGGGUACGGGCAGACUAGAGUGCGGUAGGGGUGACUGGAAUUCCUGGUGUAGCGGUGGAAUGCGCAGAUAUCAGGAGGAACACCGAUGGCGAAGGCAGGUCACUGGGCCGAUACUGACGCUGGAGGAGCGAAAAGCGUGGGGAGCGAACAGG
RNAcentral lists this ribosomal RNA (255 nucleotides) under uncultured bacterium. RNAcentral describes it as "partial 16S ribosomal RNA". It matches the Rfam family "Bacterial small subunit ribosomal RNA", at positions 524 to 776 of the family's 1533-position model. The record is from RNAcentral.